GUGUCAUGUUUACACUGGUGUGUGGGGUAAAUGACGAAACGGUGGAGCAUAUUGUGCUAGACUGCGCGAGACUCAAGCCGUCCCGGUCACAGGACAAUGGCCCAAGGCGUCCGAGACCCUUAGCGCUCGCUGAAGCGUUGGGCUUCA
Molecule: long non-coding RNA, 147 nt
Organism: Ixodes scapularis (black-legged tick)
Lineage: Eukaryota; Metazoa; Arthropoda; Arachnida; Ixodida; Ixodidae
Exons: 3
Source: RefSeq, a predicted model, not a curated record